GUACUGAGGGAACACUACUAUUAUUGCUUGGAAUGUCACAAUAAUAUCCAUCCGUUCACUUAAAGGAGCAGUUUAAGGUUAGUUUCCGAAACAGGGAUGGGAAAAAGAUCCUGUACCUUGAAAAGGGUGCAAAAGAGGGAAUCUCUUUGCUUGUUCCCUGACUGGACAUUGAAGAGGAAUCCCCUCUAUUUACACCUCAAUUAAAAAGGUACAGGAGCCCCACUUCAGUUUAUACUUUAGCAACCCCGAUGAGGCACACACAAGGCUGGGAUGAUGCACCAUGCCUUCGAUUGUGAUGCGCCCAUGGUUCUAUGACAGUUAAGGCUGCAGCCAGGGAGCAGGGAUCUGAGUUGCCCUCAGCCCUUGGGCCUAAAGAGUCCUGAAAGGUGCAGCAAGUGACUUCCAAUGGCCCGAAAAGAGAAACGGAAGAUGGAUUUCCUGUCAUCAGCCGGGGAUUGAUAUCCUGUGAUCAGGUAUGAGAAGAGGAGGAAAGAUACCCAACUAUCAGGUAAGGGAUGAAAUGGAGAAAUACCCAAUAAUCAGGUAAGAGAAGAGGAAAGUUACAAAAAUCAUCAGGUAAGGAAAGAAGAGGAAAAACACCUAAUAAUCAGGUAAGGGAUGAAGAGGAUGGGCACCCAAUAAUCAGGUAAGAGAAGAGGAAAGUUACAAAAAUCAUCAGGUAAGGAAAGAAGAGGAAAAACACCUAAUAAUCAGGUAAGGGAUGAAGAGGAUGGGCACCCAAUAAUCAGGUAAGAGAAGAGGAAAGUUACAAAAAUCAUCAGGUAAGGAAAGAAGAGGAAAAACACCUAAUAAUCAGGUAAGGGAUGAAGAGGAUGGGCACCCAAUAAUCAGGUAAGAGAAGAGGAAGGCUAACAAAUCAUCAGGUAAGGGAUGAAGAGGAAAAAUACCCAACUAUCAGGUAAGGGGUGAAGAGGAUGGGCACCCAAUAAUCAGGUAAGAGAAGAGGAAAGAUGCCCAAUUAUCAGGUAAGGGAUGAGGAGGAGAAACACCCAAUAAGGUAAGAGAAGUGGAAAGCUACAAAAUCAUCAGGUAAGGAAAGAAGAGGAAAAACACCUAAUAACCAGGUAAGGAAUGAAGGGGACAGACACUCAAUAAUCAGGUAAGAGAAGAGGCGUGAUUUUGUGUCCCCAGGUAUUUCUGAUCUCCAGAAGGACCUUCUUGAACACACAGCAUCCAAUGAAGUGGAUCUGCAGGAAGACGUCAAGAAGAAAGAGAAUGAGAAAGAAAGAAGGACGGACAGAAAGUUGGUUGAUUUAAUUGGGAGGAAAACCUGGUAGCAAGCUGAAGAAAAGCAUAAAAGUUAGGCAAGAGAAAAGAAUAAACUGGAGAAGAUGCCAGAGACUGUUGGGGGGAAAGGCCCAAUGAGAAGGAAAGACAUCUCAAGCUGAGGGCACUUUCCAGAUUACGUGCCACUGAAAGCGUUUGUGAAACUCAUCCUGCUCCAGCUACGAGAUAGAAGGUCUUGAAUCCAUUCUUCUGGUGGCCCUGUAGCAAUUACAAACAAGACAAUCUGCUAUUUUAUGGAAGCUAUAGAAGACUAUAAGUAGUAUAGAUGUGCCUAAGAAGGGCAGAUAUAUAUACUAUCUUCCUCAAACUACGAGGGAUUGCCUAAGUAAAAGUAAGUAAGUGUGUGUGUGUGUGUGUGUAUGUGUGUGUGUGGCAAGUUCUUGGUGGUAUAGGGAGAUCAAGUCACCUUGCCUGUCUCCUGAGGAAUCUGUAUCACGACCAAGUAGCAACAGUCAAAACAGACAAUGGAAUAGGAGACCGGUUCAAGAUUGGGAAAGGAGUAUGGCAGGGCUGUCUACUCUCACUCUACCUUUUCAACUUGUACGCAGAACACAUCAUGCGACAUACGUGUGGGACUUGAGGAAUCCAAGGCUUGAGUUAAAAUUUCUGGAAGGAACAUUAACAACCUUCAAUAUGAAGAUGAUACCACUCUGAUGGCUGAAAGUGAGGAGGAGCUGAGGAGUCCUCUCACCAAGGUGAAAGAAGAAAGGAACAAAAAUUGGGUUGCAGUUAAACAAUAGAUAAUAGCAACCAGACUGAUUGAUAACUGACAAAUAGAGGGACAAAAAGUGGAGGCAGUGACAGACUUUGUAUUUCUAGGCGCAAAGAUUCCUACAGCCAGGAAAUCAGAAGAUGUUUUCUUCUUGGGAGGAGAGCCAGGACCAAUCUCAAUAAAAUAGUGAAGAGUAGAGACAUCACACUGGCAACGAAGGUCCGCAUAGUUAAAGCAAUGGUAUUCUUCAUAGUAACUUAGGGAUGCGAAAGAGAGCUGGACCAUAAGGAAGGCUGAGCAAAGGAAAAAAGACGCUUUUGAACUGUGGUGUUGGAGGAAAAUCCUGAGAGUGCCUUGGACCGCAAGAAGAUCCAACCAGUCCAUACUCCAGGAAAGUAAGCCUGGCUACUCACUGGAGGGAAGGAUAUGAGAAGCAGAUGAAGGACUCAUGAGAAGACAGGAAAGCUUGGAGAAGACAAUGAUGUUGGGGAAAAGGGAAGGGAAAAGGAAGAGAGGCCAACCCAGUGCAAGAUGGGUGAAUGGUAUCCUUGAAGGGACUGACUCCACCUUGAAGGAGCUGGGCACAGUGGACAGGGAGCUCUGGCCUGGGCUGCUCCAAGAGGUCAUCAAGAGGCAGAAGCAACUGAACAAAUAAACAGCACAACAACAACAUGUAGACUUGUCCACAGCUGCAUGGUAUCCAGUAGACUCCCUCCAAGAACGGAAUCCCCUAAACUGGGCUCUCCAGGCAAAUGGAGACUCCACCAUAGACUGAGAGAGGAAAGGAGAAAGGAAAGGUGAGGAGAGACAAAAGGAGAUAGGAAGAAGGGAAAGGAAAGGAGACGAGAGAGGAAAAGAGAGAGUCGAGGAGGAAAAGGAGCCAGGAAAGGAGAGGCUAAAGGAGAGGGGAAAGGAGAGGGGAAAGAAGAGGAGUCGAGGAGAGAGGACAGGAGAGGGGAAAGGAGAGAGGUGAGGAGAGAGGAGAGGAAAGGUCUUUUCCGACAUGCCCGGGGUAACACUGACCGCCACUUUUGGGGUCGGGAAGGAAUUUUCCUCCAGGACGGAUUGGCCCUGGGUCCUGGAGGUUUUUCGCCUUCCUCUGGGCAUCCGGCAAAGGUCUCACCGAGUCAGGAUAAAACACACUCUAAGACAACAACAGGCCAAUAUUGAACUAACCAACAAAUGCAAGCCCAUUUGAAUAAAAGACAUGAAUCUGUAAA
Molecule: long non-coding RNA, 3240 nt
Organism: Anolis carolinensis (green anole)
Lineage: Eukaryota; Metazoa; Chordata; Lepidosauria; Squamata; Anolidae
Exons: 2
Source: RefSeq, a predicted model, not a curated record